GUCAUCAAAUGAUGAAGUAUUAGUAAAUCUUAGGACACAUUGGACACAACUUUUUGAGGUUGUGGAUGAGAAUGUUUCCAUUCGAUGAUGAUGAU
This is a small nucleolar RNA of Cornus florida, 95 nucleotides long. RefSeq annotates it as small nucleolar RNA snoR31/Z110/Z27. The record is from RefSeq and is a predicted model, not a curated record. Lineage: Eukaryota; Viridiplantae; Streptophyta; Magnoliopsida; Cornales; Cornaceae. The transcript has a single exon.